GCAGUGGUGAUUCAGUGGUAGAAUUCUCACCUUCUACGUAAGAUACCCAGGUUCAAUUCCCAGCUAACGCA
This 71-nucleotide transfer RNA is filed under the name Loxodonta africana (African savanna elephant). It matches the Rfam family "tRNA". From Rfam's summary of the family: Transfer RNA (tRNA) molecules are approximately 80 nucleotides in length. Their secondary structure includes four short double-helical elements and three loops (D, anti-codon, and T loops). Lineage: Eukaryota; Metazoa; Chordata; Mammalia; Proboscidea; Elephantidae. The record is from Rfam by way of RNAcentral.